Molecule: long non-coding RNA, 5148 nt
Filed under: Sus scrofa (pig)
Lineage: Eukaryota; Metazoa; Chordata; Mammalia; Artiodactyla; Suidae
Description: lncRNA (ENSSSCG00000062107.1)
Source: RNAcentral
CACCCACAGCAUAUGGAAGUUCCCAGGCUAGGGGUCCGGUUGGAGCAAUAGCUGCCUGCCUACACCACAGCCACAGCAACUUGGGAUCCCAGCCAUGUCUGCAACCUACACCACAGCUCAGAGCAAUGCGGGAUCCCUGACCCACUGAGCAAGGCCAGGAAUGGAACCCACAUCCUAAUGGAUACUAGUCAGGUUUGUUUACCACUGAGCCACUACAGGACCUGGUCCUUUAAAGAAAAAGUUUGCUCACCUCUGGUCUGUAAGAUAAAUUACUAUUGGUGAAAUCGAUGGGUUGAGAGUUUUGCGUGUCACACUUGAUUGUUCGUAGCCCAAUUCUCUUUGUAAAUGUACGGUUUAGUCUCCCACUAGAAGCAUGUUUUCUCAUGUUCAGACGAAGGCAGUUCAUCGAUCUUUUUCAUCUUUGCCAAUCUGGUAAUUAGAAAAUGGUAUUUCUCUUAUUUGCUUUGCAUUUCUCUGAUUUUGAGUGAAAUUGAAUUUACGGUUGUGGGGGUGGGGGUGGGGAGCCUAUGAGGGAAAGAGAAACAAAGAUGAGGUAAAUGAUCAGUCUUCAUUCUGAGAUGUGAGUAACAGAACUGAAUGAACUCAGCAGAGACCCUGCUGCCCUGCCAGCCUGGGGUGCUCAGGGCUCUCAGCCACUCUCUUCCUUUCUGACCGGAAAGAGCGUUCCGGGUGACAACUGCUUCCUUGCUUUGCACUAUCCUGGGUUUAUCAUCCUGUGCACUGUGAACAGCUGCUAGGCGGAAAAUCGAGUUCUGGAUUUGAUCUUGGGGAAAUGGAACUUACACGUGGGGAGAUUCUUACACGCAGGAAAGCUCUUUGAAAGUUCAGCCUCAAAUAAACACUCCCAAGUGCUACCCUGGAGGGUGAGCCACCUUUGAAGUGGAGGAGCAGAGAGGAAACACCUCUUUUCCCCCUGGGGGUUUAGGCUGUGUGGUCUUGGAGAAGGAACUUUUGUUGGUCAGAGUGAUGUGUAAGAACACAGGAUCCAGCAUUUUCCUACCAGACUCCAGGGAAGUGUUUAACCCCUCUUGCUGGUGGUGAGGUCCAGUGAUUUCUGGUUCCAGUGAUGCACUAGCAGGUCCUAGUUUUUCUCCUCUUGAGAGUGAAGAUUGUUCCUUUUGGUGCUAAAGAGGCCAGUGCUGUGGGGAUUACGAGAUGCAAGGGCUAGGGGUCAGCUGAGUCUUUUAGAGUUUGUCAAAUUGAAACAUAAAUUUCUUUGAGAAGAAAGCCUUAUUCCAAAAAGAUAGCAAGGUUCUAAAGUUUUGUCGCUAGAGGACUUGAAGAAAGGCUCCUUAGCAACUAAUUAGAUCUUCAACUUACAUUGGGGUUAUGUUCCAAAAAACCCUUCAUAAGAUGAAAAUACCAUUUGUUGAAAAUACAUUUUCAACAUCACCGCUUAGCCUAGCCUACCUUAAAUGUGCUCAGAACACUUGUGUUAGCCUGCAGUUGGGCAGCAUCUUCUAACGUAUUUUACAAUAAAAUGUUGAAUAGCUCCUGCAAUUUAUUGAACACUGUGCUGAAAGGGAAAAACAGAAUGGUUUUGUGGGUGCAGAAUGGUUGUAUGUAUGUUGAUUGUGAUCUGGUGGCUGAUUGGGUGCUGAGCUCGCUGCUGCCACCCAGCAUCAUGAGAGUAUCGGGCCAUGGAUUGCUAGCCUGGGACAAGAUCAAAAUUCACAACUCCAAGUGCAGUUUCUGCUGAAUGGUGUCUCUUUUACACCAUUGUGAAGUCGAAAAAUCCUAAGUCGGGGGGCCGUCUGUGCUUCAAAUGUGAUAAGUCAGUAAUUACAUUUAAAUGUGUAAAAAUUAGAUUAAGUUCCCAGAGAAGAGCUAUUGGAAAUGACUGUGCUGGAAAUGUGCUAAAUUAAUUAUGGUAAAUCCAUUUAGUGGAUUAGGAUGUGGCUGUUACAAGAAUGCAAUGGAUCCACACGCAUAGAUGUGGAACCUCUUCCAAGAAAUCAAUAAAUGGAAAAGUCAAGGUAAGGGAUGGUAAGUGCCUUGAGUCAGGAUUUCUGAAAGCAGAGGCUGAGGCAGGGAUUGCGGUGCUUUGAGGAGGGAUUGCUCCCAGGAAAAGUGGGUGGUGCGGGGGGAAGAGCUAAGCUAGGAGAUGGUCUCAGUGGACAUCAGCUUUAGCCUGAUUCCACGUGGAGCUCUGGAGCAUAAAUUGUACCACAGUGUCAUGCAACCAUCUGUACCCCCCGUGCUGGCCGGGCCGGUGUGGGGAGGAGGGUUCUCUGUAGGAGGGGUAACUGGGAGCUAUCAGCAGCCAAUACUCACAGCAGCUGGGGUCUGGAGGUGCUGGCUGUAUAGGGCAUCUGGGAAGAGCCCAGUGGCACCUGCUGCAGGAGGCACGCUGCUGUUUGUGGGAAAGGAUGGAUUCACACAAACACAGGAUUUUGCGUGUGUACGAACAGUAAGAGCAGAGGCUCUUAUCGUGGAGUCUACAGAUCCCUAGGGGAUCAUGGAGAGAACCAUACUGCAAUGUAAUUGAUUUCCUCUGCAAUCCUCUGCACUUCAUUUUACUUACUUUCAAGCAUUAUUCUGAGAGGUGCGCCCAUAGGCUUCAUCAGAUAGCUAAGGGGUCCACAAAGCACACACAAAAAUAAAGAGAUGCAGGAAGGGUGGUGGUGUUUGUCUUCCUGAAGUGACAGAGGGGCAGAUACGAGGGGGCUGGGGUCAGGAGUGGGAGAGAGAUUUCCUAUUCUUUGCACAUACUUUUGCACUACUGGAAUUUUUGCUAUGUGCAUCAGUUGUAUUUUAAUAAGAGAAAAAAGAAAAUAUUUGUCUUAAAAAAUUUUUUUUAGGGCUGCACCCACGGCAUAUGGAGGUUCCCAGGCUAGGGGUCGAAUCAGAGCUGUAGCCGCUGGCCUAUGCCACAGCCACAGCAACAGGGGAUCCGAGCUGUGUCUGCGACCUACACCACAGCUCAUGGCAAUGUCGGAUACUUAACCUACUGAGCGAGGCCAAGGAUGGAACCUGCGUUCUCAUGGAUACUAGUCAGAUUUUUAACUCUGAGCCAUGACGGGAACUCCAUCUAAUUCUGGCAUUUGAUGUCAAAGCUUUUUUAUGCGCCUGGUAGAACCCUGCAUAGCUGUCUUUUACUAAUUUUUGCCCAACUCCUAAUCAAAUUACAACUGAAGUGUAAAAUCAUUUAUUAACAUCUAUGCAUGGACUUACAAAAGACACUACUUUUGUUUGCAUGCCAUUUUCAUGAGUCAAAAGCAUGCUUUUAGAGGAAAAUUUUUCUGUAAGGAGAACGAAUUUGGGGGUUGUUUCAUGCUCAAGACUCUUCGCAGAUUUUAUUUUUACUUCUUUUUUAUGGCUGCAUCCGAGGCACAAAGAAGUUUUGAGGCCAGGGGUUGAGUCUGAGCUGCAGCUGUGACCUAUGCCACAGCUGUGGCAGUGCCAGAUCCUUUUAACCCACUGCCCUGGACUGAGGGUCAAACCCAUGCCUCCAUAGCCACCAUAGCUGCUGCAGUUGGAUUCUUAACCCACUGUGCCACAGCGGCAACUCCUCUUGGAAGACUGUAAAUGAAUGUGCACUCUCGACCACUUUGGUUGCCAAGGGAGCUCACUUCUGCCCUGGAUGCGCGUCCUGUGGAGUGAUGUUGGCAGAGAUAAAUGAGUGAGAGUACAAGCGGUUCUAUAAUAACAGUGCAAUUUGGCUAAAGGGUGACAUCAUCUUUUUGCUGUCCUAUCUGCCAUUCUAAGUAGCAGUAAGUUCAGCAUCGCUAGAGAAUGCAUUACAAGGAGGAGAAGACUGGCAAGGUGGGAUAAAACACAUGAAAUGGAAAAUAAAAUGAAAAGGAAGGUAGCCUAGAAUAUAUCCAGUCCGUAGAUACUUUUUUCUUAGGUAGAGUUUUGAUUUCAUUACCCCAUUGUAAUUUGCCAUCACUUUGGAUUGUGUGGAAAGAGGCAACGCUUCUUCCCUGAGAGCUGGUUUGCUAUAUACACACCUGAGUACCACCAGUGGAUAAAUAGGAACAUUGGAAUUGAUUUUAGUAUUUAAAGGGCAUGUGUAAAAGCUGGUAGAUGAAAUGCCUUUAUCAGUUCAGUCCACUCACUGUGAUUCCACAGCUCACUGGUAACACUGGAGGGGGGGUUUGGCUUGGAUACUGAGAGGAAUGUCACCCUCCUUCAAGCUGAUGAACAAGGACAUAGCUUGUUUCUCAGAAGGAGCAGUAUGUGAUUGUGUAUCAGUUCUUUGGAGGUGGGUUGGAGCUAGGACAGUGUCAAUUCAUUGCUUUUUAUUUAUUUAUUUUUUAAGUAACCUCUUUAUUGAGAAAGAAUUCACAUACCAAAAUAUUCUUCCCGUUUGCUAAUUUUUAUUUUUUUCUUUUUCUAAUUAAUUUUUUCCUGUUCACUAAUUUUUAAAUCUCCCUGUCAUCUAAUAUCUCCCUGCCUUGUAAUAUCUCUGUCUUCUAAUGUUCACAGGCAUCCGAUGAAUUUCUGCAAAGGCAUUGAUAAUGGCUUUGAGGAAUGAAUAUGGCAGAUGGAUCAAAUCAAAGAAUCAAAUUUCAAAGCUGGAUUGAAAGUCAUGAAGAGGAAGGAUAAGCAGAAAUGAAGGAAAAAGAGAAUUAUAGGAGUCAAAUGAGCAGUUGAUUAUUGAAAAGAGAAUCUUCUGCUGUUUGAAUAAAGACCAAAGGGCUUUCAUUGUUGGCUCCCCACAGGACUGUGCCUUUUUGAGCUGCACAUCCCAAGAUCAAGAAACCAGAAGGAGCUCAGACUUUAACUAAUUAGCACUCAUGAAAAUUUACUAACCGUCAACAGCAAAUUUACUAGGCAAUUUCAUUUCCAAAGCAUGUUGGCACAUAUCACAGGUAAAAUGUUUUCACAAACACCAUUUUUAACAUAGGAUGUUAUUGGUAGAAACUAUUGUUGUGGCCUAGGGAACAAAUGGUUCAUUGAAAGAGAACUUUGCUGAUCUGGUUUCAAAGAAUUCUAUGAUAUGAAAAAUUCUGUGGAACAGAUGGGAUCAGAAGUCCCUUAACACAGAACAGGCAUAUCUGGUAAUGAAAAUGUUCCUUUGGUGUAGUAUUUUGUAUUAUGUUUAAAAGUAUUAGUAUGCAAGGGACUCAGAAAGGAGCAGAAAUGAGGAAGUAAGUGGGAAUAAUACUUUAUAUGUGAAUA